UACAUUAAAAAUUAAGUACUUUUGUAUUUUCACUCAAGUAAAAUUGAAGAGGAGCACUAAAUUCUUUCACUUGAGUAAUAUUUUAUUAUAUGUAUCUGUACUUUUACUCAAGUUCUUGAAUUGUGUACUUCGUCCACCACUGCUUUAAGGGAGUAUGAACAUCAGAACUGUGUCCUACAUUACAGAUCAGAGUGAAAGAGCAACUCAAUGCUGCGUUUGCAGUUUCUGUUUUCACACUUCCUCUAUAUUCUCCAUUUUUACACCUCGUCUUGUUCGUGUAAAGACAUUCUGAGCAAAAUAAAGAAGAAAAGUGCAUCAACGUGUACUUUAUAUAACAAAAAAUGUCACUUGGAAGCUUGUUGUUGGUCUCUAGCCUAUGGUUGUGUUCAUCAGCACAGAAGCUGUUUCAGGUGAAGGUGUGAUGAAAGCAGUGGAUGAUCAAGUUUCUUUUCGUCCAGACAAAUUCAUUCCUUCUGUCACCAGCAUCAUCUGGAAACACAUAAACACUGACGGAACUGUUGUCAAGGCGAUUGAAUGGGAUGAAGGAGAUACUAUAACCCCGAAUCAGAGAUUCAAAGACAUCACAACUGUUAAUGAGAAGACUGGACAAAUCACUAUAGCUAAUUUAAAAGUUGAACAUAGUGGAGUUUAUACCAUUGACAUCAACAGUAAAGAGCAGCGACAGAGAUUCACAUUGACUGUUAUGGAGGGGGUCCCCAAACCUGUAAUAAAAAUAGAGAAGAGUAAAGAUAACCCUGAUGCUGUGAAUUUAAUAUGUGAGUACAGUGAAACGAUCAUCUGGAGGAAUUCUGCUGGAGAAACACUGAAGGGUUCAAAACACCAUCCGAAAGGAGAGAUUUUAGUGGUCAAGGAAAUGAAGGAAAUCGUGAAAACUUCUACACCUGUACACUGAAGAACGCAGUGAGUGAGGAGACCAGUGAUCCGCUCUAUGAGAGAGAUCUGUUUAAAGGUUUAAACAGGGGAUUUGUCAUUUGGAUUGUCAUCGUUUUGAUCUGCAUGGCUUUUAUCCUCCUUUUCCUGUUUAUACCAUCUUUAUACGGUUAUUGUGCUGAUGGUGAAAGUGGGAGAAGCAAGACGUCCAGAAAAUGACAGUGAUUGACUGAUGCUCAUCAUGAACCUUGUGACUCUUCAAAUGUAAAGAUCUUCUCGACACAUUUCUCUGAUCAUCGGCUCUAAAUCUCAGCUUUACUGAAUCAUCUGGAGCUCUGAACCGUCUUUUCCUUCAUAACUUUGAACAUUUGCUUUUUAACCUUUCUGGACAAGAUAAAAAUUUCUUUUUGCAGGCAUGUUGAGUGAUUGUGUAGAAAUAAAUAGCUACUAAAAAUGUGUAUUAUGUUAAAAAAAAAUAAUAAUUUAGAUGUCAAUACAUUUUGCACAAAAUGUUCUGCUUCAUUUUUCUUUUCUUUUUUUUUGUGGAGAGCAGAGAAUGUGUUUUUUUCUGUUUGUUGGACAUGAACCAAUAAAGUAAUAAACACUGAAUGCAGUGUAAAUCACUUUGAAUAAAAUGUGAAUUCAUCUUGUUAAGACAAAAUUCUAAUUCAGAAGGAGAUUUGUGUCAUUAAAGAAUGAACAUGAAUAUGAAAUUAUAUAUGGUUUAAUCAGUUUUAAAUCAUGUCCUUCAUCUCAGUUUAGUUUGUAUUAUGUAAAUUACAUAUUUACAAUUUAAAUUAAUAUAAAUACUGGUGUGGUGUGAGAAAAGAUAUGAGCUACAAACUACUGUAAAUCAGUUAUUAUAAAACAGCACACCCCAAAUAUUCACUCCAAAAUUAAAAAAUUAAAGCAGUUUAUGCAGUUCACUUUUGUUAUGCAGUGGAUAUUUUUCAUGCACUAUGUAGUGGUCGUGGUUGGUAGUCUUGCUGGACACAGACACACAUUUGAGCCAGACAUUAUCAAACAUUUGCAAUGAACGUACACAAGAUGGCAGCAGUUCUGUAAAUGCUGAACCCAAAAAACACCAAACUGAUGCCACUGCAAGAUAGGUUAAUGUUUAUGGAAAGCCGUUUUGACUUUUAUUCAUUCUCAGGAUAUGAAUUCUUGAUAUCCACAGUUCAAUUCUUGAUAUGUGUAAUUACAUUUCCACUAGUAAAAACUAUAAUUCUUGAUGUCUGUAAUUGUAUUUUCACUAAUGAAAUAUCACCAUAGACUGCCAUUCAAAUUCAAUUGUUGAUAUCAAGAAUUGAUUUCUUAUAGUUGAAAUUCCAAUUUCACAUAUCAGAAAUACAAUUAUUACUAGUAAAUAUAAUAUUUUUUGAUAAUUUUUGAAAGAUUCGAACCACUUCCUGGACCAGUCAGG
Megalobrama amblycephala (Wuchang bream) is the source of this 2314-nucleotide long non-coding RNA. RefSeq lists it as uncharacterized. The record is from RefSeq and is a predicted model, not a curated record. Lineage: Eukaryota; Metazoa; Chordata; Actinopteri; Cypriniformes; Xenocyprididae. The transcript is spliced from 6 exons.